GAAGGCACAGCGCAGGGGUAGAGCGCAUGCUUAGCAUGCACAAGGUCCUGGGUUCAAUCCCCAGUACCUCCU
RNAcentral lists this transfer RNA (72 nucleotides) under Camelus bactrianus (Bactrian camel). It matches the Rfam family "tRNA". Rfam says of the family: Transfer RNA (tRNA) molecules are approximately 80 nucleotides in length. Lineage: Eukaryota; Metazoa; Chordata; Mammalia; Artiodactyla; Camelidae. The record is from Rfam by way of RNAcentral. RNAcentral also lists the same sequence under 2 other names.